GGAUGGGUAGGGGAGCGUCGUGUGCCGGGUGAAGCUGCGCCGGAAGGCAGUGGUGGACGGUUCACGAGUGAGAAUGCAGGCAUGAGUAGCGAUACAUACGUGAGAAACGUGUGCGCCGAUUGACUAAGGGUUCCUGGGUCAAGCUGAUCUGCCCAGGGUAAGUCGGGACCUAAGGCGAGGCCGACAGGCGUAGUCGAUGGAUAACCGGUUGAUAUUCCGGUACCCGCUGUGAAGCGUCAAACAUCGAAUCCAGUGAUGCUAAGGCCGUGAAGCCGCCCUGAUCUCUUCGGAGUUGAGGGGAGUGGUGGAGCCGCUGACCCGAUCUGGUAGUAGGUGAGUGAUGGGGUGACGCAGGAAGGUAGUCCAGCCCGGGCGGUGGUUGUCCCGGGGUAAGGGUGUAGGACGUGAUCCAGGCAAAUCCGGAUCACACAUAGUCUGAGACCUGAUGCCGAGCCGAUUGUGGUGAAGUGGAUGAUCCUAUGCUGUCGAGAAAAGCCUCUAGCGAGUUUCAUGGCGGCCCGUACCCUAAACCGACUCAGGUGGUCAGGUAGAGAAUACCGAGGCGUUCGGGUGAACUAUGGUUAAGGAACUCGGCAAAAUGCCCCCGUAACUUCGGGAGAAGGGGGGCCAUUCCUGGUGAUGAGAUUUACUCUCUGAGCUGGGGGUGGCCGCAGAGACCAGCGAGAAGCGACUGUUUACUAAAAACACAGGUCCGUGCGAAGCCGUAAGGCGAUGUAUACGGACUGACGCCUGCCCGGUGCUGGAACGUUAAGGGGACCGGUUAGUCACUCUUCGGGGUGGCGAAGCUGAGAACUUAAGCGCCAGUAAACGGCGGUGGUAACUAUAACCAUCCUAAGGUAGCGAAAUUCCUUGUCGGGUAAGUUCCGACCUGCACGAAUGGCGUAACGACUUCUCGACUGUCUCAACCAUAGGCCCGGUGAAAUUGCACUACGAGUAAAGAUGCUCGUUUCGCGCAGCAGGACGGAAAGACCCCGGGACCUUUACUACAGUUUGAUAUUGGUGUUCGGUUCGGCUUGUGUAGGAUAGGUGGGAGACUGUGAAGCGGGCACGCCAGUGUUCGUGGAGUCGUCGUUGAAAUACCACUCUGGUCGUGCUGGAUGUCUAAC
This 1127-nucleotide ribosomal RNA is filed under the name Actinomadura madurae. RNAcentral's name for it is "bacterial LSU rRNA". It matches the Rfam family "Bacterial large subunit ribosomal RNA", at positions 1222 to 2226 of the family's 2925-position model. The record is from RNAcentral. Lineage: Bacteria; Bacillati; Actinomycetota; Actinomycetes; Streptosporangiales; Thermomonosporaceae.